This 461-nucleotide ribosomal RNA is filed under the name uncultured bacterium. RNAcentral describes it as "partial 16S ribosomal RNA". It matches the Rfam family "Bacterial small subunit ribosomal RNA", at positions 28 to 506 of the family's 1533-position model. The record is from RNAcentral.
GACGAACGCUGGCGGCGUGCUUAACACAUGCAAGUCGAGCGGAAAGGCCCUUCGGGGUACUCGAGCGGCGAACGGGUGAGUAACACGUGAGUAACCUGCCCCAGACUUUGGGAUAACCCUCGGAAACGGGGGCUAAUACCGGAUACGACACAGCUUCGCAUGGGGUCUGUGUGGAAAGUUUUUCGGUUUGGGAUGGGCUCGCGGCCUAUCAGCUUGUUGGUGGGGGGAUGGCCUACCAAGGCGACGACGGGUAGCCGGCCUGAGAGGGCGACCGGCCACACUGGGCCUGAGACACGGCCCAGACUCCUACGGGAGGCAGCAGUGGGGAAUAUUGCACAAUGGGCGGAAGCCGGAUGCAGCGACGCCGCGUGGGGGAUGACGGCCUUCGGGUUGUAAACCUCUUUCAGCAGGGACGAAGCGUAAGUGACGGUACCUGCAGAAGAAGCGCCGGCCAACUACGU